UGCUUUGCUCAUUAUCUGAACUUUGUUGAAGAGUGGAUCGCUAUGUGUUUCAUCCACAAUAUGGUGCAAGCCCCAGAUCUUUUCCUUUUCAGACUUACCAGCCUUUCCAUGACUCCUCGUACAUGACUUUUUCCAUUCCUGGAAGCAGUGUUUCUCUACUCCAGUUAAUUUGGUGUGAACUUACUUUGUUCAUGUGGACUUUACAUAUCAGAUACUGGAUACACAUCGCAAUAGCAGGACCCUGUAAAUACUGUCUUCUGGAUUUUCACCACAGCAUGAUGGGUUCCCAGUUUCAUAAACUGUAUAACUCAUGUGUAUAAACUUCCCUAAUUACUAAUACCUGGCUCUGUUUUAAUUCUGCUUCCAUAUCUUCUUGACUUCUCUGCAGCUAUAACAGUAAGUCUCAUGUCUCAUUGCUCAAUUAGUUGCUGUUGUUAGCUUAAUAAGUGAAAGGCUUUCUGGUGUCAUUGACCUGAUUUUUAGGAUUGCAAAAGGCUGUAUACAUCAUUUGUAUUUAUUGCCAAAUAAACCUUUGUAAGUGUA
This is a long non-coding RNA of Neofelis nebulosa (Clouded leopard), 543 nucleotides long. RefSeq lists it as uncharacterized. The transcript has 2 exons. Lineage: Eukaryota; Metazoa; Chordata; Mammalia; Carnivora; Felidae. The record is from RefSeq and is a predicted model, not a curated record.